Molecule: non-coding RNA, 166 nt
Filed under: pig gut metagenome
Source: RNAcentral
UCUCGGUAAGUGAGAGUGAAAAGGGAAUCCGGUGAGAAUCCGGAACAAUACCAGUUGCUGUAAGUCUCAGAUUUUCUGCGAGAAAAUACUUAUUUGCAUUCUUUUGCCACUGAUUAAGUUCGGGAAGGCGCGAAUAAGGAGACAAGUCAGAAGACCUCCCUUCUGC